GACGAACCGUGCGAACGUUGUUCGGAAUCACUGGGCUUAAAGGGCGCGUAGGCGGGCUGUCAAGUCCGGGGUGAAAUCCUCCCGCUCAACGGGAGAACGGCCUCGGAUACUGAUGGCCUCGAGGGAGGUAGGGGCACGCGGAACUGUGGGUGGAGCGGUGAAAUGCGUUGAUAUCCAUAGGAACUCCGGUGGCGAAAGCGGCGUGCUGGACCUUUUCUGACGCUGAUGCGCGAAAGCCAGGGGAGCAAACAGG
RNAcentral lists this ribosomal RNA (253 nucleotides) under uncultured bacterium. RNAcentral describes it as "partial 16S ribosomal RNA". It matches the Rfam family "Bacterial small subunit ribosomal RNA", at positions 524 to 776 of the family's 1533-position model. The record is from RNAcentral.